UAAAUAAGCGGAGGAAAAGAAAUUAACUAAGAUUCUCUUAGUAACGGCGAGUGAAACGGGAGUUAGCCCAGCACUGAAUCCCCUCGAGUACGCAGUUCUUGGGGAGCUGUAGUGUAUGGGACUCGUACUAUUCGUUUGGCGUUUGUCUGUGACAAGUCGCAUUGAAUGUCUUGACUCCAGAGCGGGUGCGAGACCCUUGUCGACGUGGAUGACGCUACGAACCAGCAUCGAGUCCCGAGAGUCAGUUUGUUUGAGAUUGCAAACUAAAGACCGGUGGUAAGCUCCAUCGAAGGCUAAAUACUUCCACGAGUCCGAUAGCGAACAAGUACCGUGAGGGAACGUUGAAAAGAACUUUGAAGAGAGAGUUCAAUAGAAUGUGAAGUCGCAUAAAGGUAAACGAGUGGUACCGAAGUAGUCGGCCUCCGACGUACAGAUCCCCCAGACCGGCUUUUGCCUAGUCUAGCGUCGACGAGCAUUCCCUCGCGGUUUUGUCUCGUCGCGCUCGUCGAAUCUUUCGUCGGCUGGGGUUCGAAGUGGUCGUUGUGCCGGGCGUCGUAAUCAAUUCGCAUGUCGCUGGAUGAGGGACGCUGCGACUUUGAGAGGGAUCGACAUCACGUCUCCUAGCGAGUUCGUUCCUGUCAUUCACUCACGACUGCAGCAAAUCAAACCCUUCAGUGGAUGGCGGAUUGUGUAAGUGCCCCGCGUUUCUCAGGCCUGCAGGCUGGUCGAGCGCUUUCGAGUGUUCCCUUUCACUGUGGUGUCCUUUGGUUUGCGGUGGCUGAUUUACGACGAAGACGGUCUACUACUCGACC
Molecule: ribosomal RNA, 812 nt
Filed under: Fedikovella sp. MNHN IM 2013-42567
Lineage: Eukaryota; Metazoa; Mollusca; Gastropoda; Cocculinidae
Description: partial large subunit ribosomal RNA
Rfam family: Eukaryotic large subunit ribosomal RNA
Source: RNAcentral